GCGGGGGUUGUAGAGCCUGGCCAAAUACGCGGGACUUAAGAUCUUUAUGAGGGAUCCCGUCUCUCAGGGGUUCGUGGGUUCAAAUCCCACCUCCCGCA
Molecule: transfer RNA, 98 nt
Filed under: Candidatus Nitrosocosmicus agrestis
Lineage: Archaea; Thermoproteati; Nitrososphaerota; Nitrososphaeria; Nitrososphaerales; Nitrososphaeraceae
Description: Candidatus Nitrosocosmicus sp. SS tRNA-Leu
Rfam family: tRNA
About the family: Transfer RNA (tRNA) molecules are approximately 80 nucleotides in length.
Source: RNAcentral